UCAGACUGGACUGAACCGCUGCUGCCCUGAACCUCAUGGUUAUCACAACACAAACAUCACUGAUCAAAUGAACAACCAGACUGUAGUGAUGGAUGGAUGAACAGUAGUUCUCUUCUGGCUUCAAGCCUGGCUGCAGAUUCCUGGUUGGAUUUAAGUCUGAACUUUGACUAGGCCAUCCUAACAGAUGAAACUGCUCUGAUCUAAACUUCAUUGUAGCUCUGGCUGCAUGUUGUUCUGCUGGAAGAGGUCAGGGCCUCCAGAGGCGGCUCCUGGCCGGGUCUCUGAUCAAUGCUCUGCCUCCACACACACACUCAGUUCAGAUGAAUGAUUGAUUAUUGGUGGGAUUACAGUUUCACCGUCUUCUCUUCAUAUCCCGAUGACGUUUGGAACAGAGCUCUCUGAGAUGUUCAAAGCUUAGGAAAUCAUUUCAUCAGGUAAUUUAAAUAACUUUAUAUUUGAAACCUUCACAGACAACC
Molecule: non-coding RNA, 476 nt
Organism: Poecilia reticulata (guppy)
Lineage: Eukaryota; Metazoa; Chordata; Actinopteri; Cyprinodontiformes; Poeciliidae
Source: RefSeq, a predicted model, not a curated record